AUGUGAAUUGUGAACACUGAGGCAGUCAGACCAGCCCUCAAGAGAACCACCUCACUUGGAUACAGUACUUCAGGGACUACCACCCACUCCCCAGUUCAUGUCGCUUUGGGGAAUGCAAAACACUGGGUCUGCCUUUGUGGUAGCUAACGUCCUACACUCAGAACUUUGUGUUUCUGGACAAUCUCAGGUUCUCAGAACUGAAACAUUCAGUUAUGUCUACCAAAAAAAAAAAAAAAAAAAAUGGAGCCUAAAGAUGUUUUAAUUCCACUUCUUCCCCUACACUUUUAUACCUCUUUCCCAGAACUUGGUUCAUCCUGAAAUCCUUCCCUGAAUUUAUUAGUUGCCAAGCAUAUGGGCUGAUGAAGACUGUCGGACUUGUGCAUUCUAGAAUCUGUGAGUGCCUCCACCAUAUACCCAGAAAUGUUGCAAUGCAGGAACUCAUUAGCUGGUCAGCAACCGUUGUGGAUAUUCCAAAGAGCAGAGCGCUAACCCAGAAUCUAAAAUCUCGUAAUCACAGAGAUACCGAUUCGAGAUUGCUGUUUAUGAACAAUAUGUUAUUGUCACAACUUUAUUUCUUUUCCCAGCCAGGUGUUUCACUAAAUAUCCCCAUCUGUAAGCUCAUAGAAGUCAUCAAAUCAACACGGUUACUGCAGCACCUGGGGGAGAGGCGCUGUGCAGCCUUGAGAAGAAGGGCUUUGCUGUUCAUUGGGAGCGGCACUCCCACAUCCUCACGCUGAGGCUCCGCUGUCCUGGUGUGGUCACAAUAAGAGUUGGGUUAUGUGAUUUAUACAGAAUUGUUGCACAUGGAACACGGGCUUCCAGUGGCUAAAGUGACCCCGCACGUGUGUGCAGGUGCCUGUAUCCUUCCAAAUAAGCUUACAUUCUCUGCACCAUGUUAAAGCCAGAAGACGACCGCGAGUCAAGGCCAUCUGGUCUGAGCGAUACGCCGAGGUUCAUUAUUGACUCCAAAGAGGCUGCUCACAAACUGACAAUCAGCUUACCAAAGAUAAAAUCACGAGUUGGCGGAAGGAGGUUUACCUUGUAUCCACAAUAAGAAACGCGUGUGACCCAAGUGGGAAAAGGCACCCAGGUCGUUACGGAACUAGUGCUGCAAU
Pipistrellus kuhlii (Kuhl's pipistrelle) is the source of this 1115-nucleotide long non-coding RNA. RefSeq lists it as uncharacterized. The transcript is spliced from 2 exons. NCBI's taxonomy places the organism in Eukaryota, Metazoa, Chordata, Mammalia, Chiroptera, Vespertilionidae. The record is from RefSeq and is a predicted model, not a curated record.